UACAGCCAUAUCAAAUUCGGUGCUGUCCUACCAUGGUAAGCACUGACCCAAGGGUUGCCAUAGAAACUGUCAUUCUUGGGCUCUAUUUUCCAUACUUGGGGUCAAGGAUGAACUUAUUCACAAACAACA
Molecule: small nucleolar RNA, 129 nt
Organism: Microtus ochrogaster (prairie vole)
Lineage: Eukaryota; Metazoa; Chordata; Mammalia; Rodentia; Cricetidae
Source: Ensembl